This is a long non-coding RNA of Triticum dicoccoides, 524 nucleotides long. RefSeq lists it as uncharacterized. The transcript is spliced from 3 exons. Lineage: Eukaryota; Viridiplantae; Streptophyta; Magnoliopsida; Poales; Poaceae. The record is from RefSeq and is a predicted model, not a curated record.
AUUGGUGCUCGUUCCGUCAGUUACUAGCGUGCGCUGGUGCCAGCCUCGCGCUAAUCCCUUGCUUGGCCGAGGAAUUUACAUUGCAGGUGCAAGGAUCGUGGAUGGGCCAUUUGGUAGGCGAGAAAAGCCCGCGCGAUCCGGAGAAUUCGACGAAACUGGACCAUGGCAAUGAAUCGCUCGUACUCGAGCGCGAAAAUUGAAUGAAAUGAUCUAGUUGAGCUGAGGGGAGGAGGAGCUGGAAUUGAUGGUUGGUGCAGUGCAGUUCCUCCAGCAGAUGUUGGGCCCCUGAUGCUCCUGGAAAGGAAAGAGCAACCAAACCAACCCUGUUUGGGAGUUGCGGUGGUUCAGUGCCAAUUGGCGUUUGGUAGCCCAGCAGCAACAGAAGAGAGCAACUUGUGUGUGUGCUGCACUAGUGCCAACCAUGCAUACUGUAGCGAAUUCGACAAGAUGUGGUGCCGGCAAAGGAAGAGAAGGCAUUUUAUGUUCACGUGUCACAGGGUGGUCAAGAGGCUGCUGAAUAUAGA